AGUGAACGCUGGCGGUAGGCCUAACACAUGCAAGUCGAACGGCAGCACAGUAAGAGCUUGCUCUUACGGGUGGCGAGUGGCGGACGGGUGAUGAAUACAUCGGAAUCUACUUUUUCGUGGGGGAUAACGUAGGGAAACUUACGCUAAUACCGCAUACGACCUACGGGUGAAAGCAGGGGAUCUUCGGACCUUGCGCGAUUGUAUGAGCCGAUGUCGGAUUAGCUAGUUGGCGGGGUAAAGGCCCACCAAGGCGACGAUCCGUAGCUGGUCUGAGAGGAUGAUCAGCCACACUGGAACUGAGACACGGUCCAGACUCCUACGGGAGGCAGCAGUGGGGAAUAUUGGACAAUGGGCGAAAGCCUGAUCCAGCCAUACCGCGUGGGUGAAGAAGGCCUUCGGGUUGUAAAGCCCUUUUGUUGGGAAAGAAAAGCAGUAGGUUAAUACCCCGCUGUUCUGACGGUACCAAAAGAAUAAGCACCGGCUAACUUCGUG
Molecule: ribosomal RNA, 492 nt
Filed under: uncultured bacterium
Lineage: Bacteria
Description: partial 16S ribosomal RNA
Rfam family: Bacterial small subunit ribosomal RNA
Source: RNAcentral